This 404-nucleotide long non-coding RNA is filed under the name Capsella rubella. RNAcentral describes it as "long non-coding RNA (CRUB_LNC004341)". Lineage: Eukaryota; Viridiplantae; Streptophyta; Magnoliopsida; Brassicales; Brassicaceae. The record is from RNAcentral.
GUUCUUUUCAACUAUGAGCUUGGAAAACCUCAAAGAACCAAUGCUAAAACAUCAGUCUGAGAAGGUGAUGCAACCAAACGCUAAUUGCAGACCUCUUAUAAAGUCAAACGUGAAUCUUCUACAAGAAGGUUGCUGCCAGGUGUAUGAAUGUCCCAACCUGUGUGCAUCAAAUCCAUCAAUCUCUUAGUAUAUAUAUUUCGUGUCAGCAAAGGAAUUAAUGAAGACAAUAAACAAAAGCUGUAUAAGAAUCUAGAACCCUAACCUCUGAAAAUUCUUGAACCAUGUUUCCUGGAUCUGUGGUGCUUAAAGUGUCUAUCAAAUCGACAUACAUCAUCAACGACAGAGUGAAUCCGUUUGCAACAGCAGCAAUCAGAAAAAUCUCUCAUUUGCUUGCAAAAUAAAAC